Molecule: transfer RNA, 76 nt
Filed under: Aquincola sp.
Lineage: Bacteria; Pseudomonadati; Pseudomonadota; Betaproteobacteria; Burkholderiales; Sphaerotilaceae
Also listed under: 5 other names
Description: tRNA-Arg
Rfam family: tRNA
About the family: Transfer RNA (tRNA) molecules are approximately 80 nucleotides in length. Their secondary structure includes four short double-helical elements and three loops (D, anti-codon, and T loops).
Source: RNAcentral
GCCCCGGUAGCUCAGUGGAUAGAGCGACCGCCUCCUAAGCGGUAGGUCGCAGGUUCAACUCCUGCCCGGGGCACCA